RNAcentral lists this long non-coding RNA (5726 nucleotides) under Olea europaea (common olive). RNAcentral describes it as "long non-coding RNA (OEUR_LNC009531)". Lineage: Eukaryota; Viridiplantae; Streptophyta; Magnoliopsida; Lamiales; Oleaceae. The record is from RNAcentral.
CUAGUUUUAUUAUGGACCAUUGGAUGGGAUCGAUGGCCGGGAUUUAAUUUAUGUGAGAUAUUUUUGUUGCCUUGUCUUGGGGGAGAAGCUUUGACUAGAUGGUUACCACAAAAAGGGCUUUCCCCACGUUUUGGCAGGACAGGUCUUUUCUCUCUUCUCCAGUCGACCACUCUCUCCAUUUUUGCACCUUCUUGUGAGCUUCUUCUUGAGAGUCUCUUGAGAUAACUUAGGCCUGGAAUGUGGCUAAGUAUGGGUGAACUUUCUCAAAGCUUUGUAGAAGGUUGAGGGUGCGUUGGUGACGGUUUCUAUCGAGGUUCAUUGCUGGUUUCUCUCUCUCUCUUUGGAAGGUGAUUUGCAUGACAUGGGAGCUGUUCCUGAGCCUAUAAAUCAGCCAUAAGGAAGAGGAGAAGUUGCUGUCCAUUUCGGCCGAGAUUGGGUUGUGUUUUUCCAUUUUAUAUUCCUUGAUUUUGCCUUGGAAUCUUUUAUUGAUUGAUGUUUAUUGUUUGAUUGAACUCCAAGGAUCCCAACAAACUGGUAUCAGAGCAAGGAGGAGUGAAAUCUGUCCAAAAAUCGAUCGAAACCUCCAAGGAAAUUGCAAUUCCCACUUUUCGCCGAAUUUGGAACUUCAAAUUCCGGCCAAACUACUGACUUUUUGGCGAAACUGACCCUGGACCCAUAACCAACAGACGAAGGCGCUCCUUGUGGUGGGGCGCGUGACCGGAGCGACGAGCUUUUUUCGGACAGUUUACUUAUUUCGAUGUCCUGAACACACUGAUGUCGUUUGUUUUCUAUUUCAGGUUUUACAGAAACAGUUGGACGAUUUUGCCCCUGGCUUGACGUCUACAGCAAUUCGGUUCAGAAACUUGGUGGUAUAUUUACUGUUUUUUAACAGUAGUUUGGUAGGAUUAUUCCAAAUUCUCCGUUAGGUUAAGUUUGGUAUCCUUACCGGUUUAUGCAUGAUUAUUGCUUGGUUGCCUAUUUGUGAAUUCCGUUGAUUGAAUUCUUGUGAUUAAUUUGUAACCUGGAAGAAUAUUUACUUGCAUUAUAUACCUGUGUUUCGUGAACGGAUUAUGUCAUUGUUGUGCUUCAUUUCUAAAUUUUUUUUAACUCAACAUUCAUAUUUUUUAUAUUAAUCAUCUGGAAAAGAAUUUUUUAAAACCUUUUCUGUUUUGUCCACGAGUACAAUCCACUUUUUUACAGAAUCUGUAAUGGGUUCGAGGGUCAAAUUAUCGCAAUUCGAUGGAAAGGGGGAUUACUCGAUAUGGAAACAGAAAAUGAGGGCCAUUUUGGUCCAACAGAGAGUUGCUAAAGCUCUCGAUGAUCCCGCUACAUUUUCUGAUGAGUUAAAAGCUAAACCAACUGAAAUUGUAGACAUGAAUGAAAUUGCUUAUAGUUCUAUAAUUUUGCAUCUAUCUGAUAACAUUGUGAGACAAGUUGAUAGUGCUAAAACUGCUAGAACUUUGUGAACUGCUUUAGAUGCCUUGUUCUUAACUAAAACUUUACCUAACAAAAUAUACCUGUUGGAAAAGUUGUUUAGUUUUAAGAUGGACCCGGGGAAGGAUGUCGAGGGGAAUUUGAGUGACUUUAGUAUAAUUGUUAAGAGUCUAGCUCAUAAUGAUAAAAAAUUUGACGAUGAGGAUUUAGCUGUCAUAUUGCUAAACUCUUUACCCGAAUCUUACAGAGAAAUGAAAAAUGUUAUAAAAUAUGGUAGGGACACUUUCACUCAAACUAUUGUUUCCGAUGCUUUAAAAUCAAGAGAACUUGAAUUAAAAAGAGACAACAGAACUCAUUCCUGGGAAGAGAGUCCAUUUGUUAGGGGAAGACCUGAAAAAGAAAGAAUUCAACUUCCAUAACAAGAAGGGGAGAGGAAAAUCUAAAAUGAGAUCUAAAUCUAAAGAUAAAAGCAAUAAGAAAUGUUAUCACUGUGGAAAGUUAGGACAUUUCAAGAAAGACUGCUUCGACUGGAAAAGGAAACAAAAAGACCCGAACAAUUCUGAUGUUGAUAAUGCUAUUAUUGUUUCUGAAUUUGAUAGUUUGCAUGUCAUGAAUGUGUCUGAGGAAGAAUUUGACAAAAAUUGGAUUCAAGACACAGGGUGCACUUUUCAUAUGUGCCCUGAUAGGUCUUGGUUCUAUAACUAUAGAGAGAUUAAACCUAGGAAGGUCUACAUGGGAGACAGUAAUUCUCAAAAUGUGGUUGGAGUUGGUAACAUAGCCAUCAGAAUGUACGAUGGGGUCGUCACGCAACUCAGAAAUGUUAGAUAUGUCCCAAAUUUAAAGAAGAACCUCAUUUCCUUAGGUUCUCUUGAAGAUGAGGGAUAUACCUUCAAGUCUGGUAACAAGAUUUUGAAAAUUAUGAAGGGUUCUCUCAUAGUUAUGAAAGGGCCUAAGAGGAAUGGACUGUACUAUCUUGAGGGUAGAACUGAAAUACCAGUUAAUUCUAGCCUUCUUACUGUGAGUAAAGACAAAACUGAAAUUUGGCAUAACAGAAUGGGUCACAUUGGGUUUAAAGGGCUAAAAUCUUUAAGUAAUCAGAAAUUACUUGGAAAAGAUGACAUCGAAACUAUGGAAUUCUGUGAAACUUGUGUUUUGGGUAAGUCCUAUAAGGUGAGCUUUGAAGCUAGCUCUCAUAGGACCAGCAGACCAUUGGACUAUGUCCAUGCUGAUCUAUGGGGCUCGGAGAAGCACUCCACAUUUGGUGGAAGCAAGUACUUCUUGUCCUUAGUGGAUGAUUACUCAAGAAAAGUUUGGAUUUAUCCUUUGAAGGCUAAGUUGGAAACUUUUGGAAAAUUCAGGGUUUGGUUAAAGUCUGUUGAGAAUCAGUUAGACAAGAAACUUAAAACAUUAAGAACUGAUAAUGGGCUUGAAUUCUGUAAUAUCGAAUUUGACAACUUCUGUAAGCAAAAAUGUAUAACAAGACACAAAACUGUUAAAUACACACCUGAACAAAAUGGGGUCACUGAAAGAAUGAACAGGACCAUAAUGAACAAAGUUAGGUGUAUGUUGAUUAGCUCUGGCCUUGCGAAAGGUUUUUGGGCUGAAGCUGCAAGUACUGCAGCUUAUCUGAUUAAUAGGUCUUCGUCCAGCAGUAUAGGGUUUAAGACCCCAUAGGAGCUGUGGAAGGGAGAGCCUCCAAAUCUAGAACACUUGAGGGUGUUUGGAUGUGCUGCAUAUGCACACCAAUUUGAAGGGAAACUUGAGCCGAGGGCUGUCAACUGUGUGAUGUUAGGGUAUCUCGAGGGUGUGAAGGGCUAUAGGUUAUGGGUUUUAGGGGUCCAAGGCAUUAAGAUUAUUAACAGCAGGAAUAUAGUCUUUAAUGAAUUUGAGAUGCCAUGUCUAAAACAGAAAAUCGAAGAAACUAACAAAUCUGAAACUGAGAAGAGUAUUCAGACUGAGGUGAAGCUGACUAGGCUAAAUUCACCUACACCUGGGAAUGAGGAAAAUGACCCUAUACAUCAUGAAAAUGAAAAUGAAAUUGAAAUUGAACCUGAACCUGAACCUGAACCUGAAGAGGUGACUCAACUUCAAGAUAACAUUGAACCAGUUGAAGUUGAACAUUUUAAUGAUCAGCCACCUAAUCAAGAUUAUCAGCUUACUAGGGAUCGGGGGAGGAGGCAGAUCAGGCCAAAUCCUAGAUAUGAAUCCCUAAACUUGACUGAUUUUGCCUUGGUUUCAGGUGAAGCCCUUGAACAGAUAGAACCUGCUAGUUAUGAAGAAGCUGUUAGUGGAAAAUGUUCUGAAAAUUGGCUAAAAGCUAUGCAGGAAGAAAUGGAAUCUUUAAUGGAGAAUAAAACUUGGAAGUUAGUUAACAAACCUAAGGAUCAUAGGAUAGUUUAAUGUAAGUAGAUUUAAAAAUUGAAAGAAGGAAAUAAUCCUAGUGAUCCCCCUAGGUAUAAGGCCAGAUUAGUGGCAAAAGGGUUCACUCAAAAGGAGGGGGUUGAUUACAAUGAGAUAUUCUCUCCUGUGAUAAAGUACAAAACAAUCAGACUGGUUUUUGCAUUGGUUAUUCAGUUCAAUUGGGAACUGGAACAACUAGAUGUCAAGACUACUUUCCUACAUGGGGAAUUGGAAGAGGAUAUUUACAUGAGUUAGCCUUAAGGUUUUGAAGUGAAAGGUAAAAUAAACUGUGUGUGCAAAUUAGAAAGAUCUCUGUAUGGGCUUAAACAAAGCCCUAGAUAGUGGUACAUAAGGUUCGAUACCUAUGUACUGAAGAUAGGUUUUAAAAGGAGUGAAUAUGAUGCAUGCCUGUACUAUAAUGAUAGUAAGGAGGGCUGUGAGGUCUACUUGUUGCUGUAUGUAGAUGACAUGCUUCUAGCAAGAUCAAGUAAUACUGAAAUCACUAAGAUGAAGAACCUUUUAAAAUCAGAACUCAAUAUGAAAGAUUUGAGGAGUGCUAAGAAGAUUUUGGGGAUGGUUAUAAAGAGAGAUAGGGCUGAAAAUAGACUAGUCAUUUCCCAAGAAGCCUAUCUAAACAAAGUCAUAACUAAAUUUGGUAUGAAUGGAUCAAAAUCUGUGAACGUUCCCUUAGCAGCUCACAUGAAUCUUUCUAGUGCACAUUCUCCUAAAACUGAGGAGGAAUUUAGAGAAAUGAGGAACAUACCCUACUCUAAUACUAUAGGUUCCGUUAUGUUCUCUAUGAUAACAACCAGGCCUGACUUAGUCUAUGCUAUAAGUUUUUUGAGCAGAUUUAUGUCCAACCCUGGAAAGCCCCAUUGGGCAGGUUUGAAAUGGUUGUUAAGGUACAUUGUUAGUACAUUAAAUCUGGGUCUAGUGUAUGAAAAAAGAUCUGAAAAACUUACUCUAAAGGAGUAUGUAGAUUCUGAUUUUGCUGGUUACAAGGAUAACAGAAAGUCUACCACAGCUUACUUUUUUACACUUGGUGACAAUUGUAUAACAUGGAAGUCACAGCUGCAGCCUUUAGUUACUUUGUCAAGUACUGAGGCAGAAUAUGUUGCCAUAACCGAGGCGGUUAAGGAAUGUACCUGGUUAAAAGGAAUUUUAAAAGAAUUGAACUUCAUACAUGAUACACCUGUUAUGUUUACUGAUAGUCAAAGUACUUUAUCGCUUUGUAAGAAUCCUGUUUAUCAUGAAAGAACUAAACAUAUUGAGGUGAAGUAUCAUUUUAUUCGUGAGAAACUGUCUCAAGGUGAAGUUAAUCUUGUUAAAAUUCACGCUGAUAGGAAUCCCUCUGAUGUGGGAACAAAAAUUUUACCUGCAGGUAAAUUUAAAUUGUGCUUAUCUUUAUUACAUAUUGACACUGGUUAAUUUUUCUUGCAAGUAGUGGGCGAUGAUGAUUAACAGUUCUUUCAUGUGCAAAUUCGCAACCAAGAGAGAGUGUUAUGAGAACCAAGGUAAAUAAUGUGAGAAUAUGGUUCUCUUAACUCCAUUAGACUUAAGUGCUAUUUGUGUAAUUCACAUAGAUUAUGCUUGUCUAGUUUUAUUAUGGACCAUUGGAUGGGAUCGAUAGCCGAGAUUUAAUCUAUGUAAGAUAUUUUUGUUGCCUUGUCUUGGGGGAGAAGCUUUGACUAGAUGGUUACCACAAAAAGGGCUUCCCCCACAUUUUGGCAGGACAAGUCUUUUCUCUCUUCUCCAGUUGACCACUCUCUCCAUUUUUGCACCUUCUUGUGAGCUUCUUCUUGAGAUUCCCUUGAGAUAACUUAGGCCUGGAAUGUGGCUAAGUAUAGGUGAACUUUCUCAAAGCUUGGUAGAAGGUUGAGGGUGCGUUGGUG